AACGAACGCUGGCGGCAGGCCUGACACAUGCAAGUCGAACGAUGCCUUCGGGCAUAGUGGCGCACGGGUGAGUAACACGUGGGAAUAUGCCUUUCGGUGGGGAAUAACGUCGGGAAACUGACGCUAAUACCGCAUACGCCCUUCGGGGGAAAGAUUUAUCGCCGAAAGAUUAGCCCGCGUCCGAUUAGCUAGUUGGUGUGGUAACGGCGCACCAAGGCGACGAUCGGUAGCUGGUCUGAGAGGAUGAUCAGCCACACUGGGACCGAGACACGGCCCAGACUCCUACGGGAGGCAGCAGUGGGGAAUAUUGGACAAUGGGCGAAAGCCUGAUCCAGCCAUGCCGCGUGAGUGAUGAAGGCCCUAGGGUUGUAAAGCUCUUUCGACGGGGACGAUGAUGACGGUACCCGUAGAAGAAGCCCCGGCUAACUUCGUGCCAGCAGCCGCGGUAAUACGAAGGGGGCUAGCGUUGUUCGGAAUUACUGGGCGUAAAGCGCACGCAGGCGGUCUGCAUAGUCAGAAGUGAAAGCCCUGGGCUCAACCCGGGAAUUGCUUUUGAUACUGGCAGGCUUGACUCACGGAGAGGGUAGGGGAAUUCCGAGUGUAGAGGUGAAAUUCGUAGAUAUUCGGAAGAACACCAGUGGCGAAGGCGCCUACCUGGCCGUCGAGUGACGCUCAUGUGCGAAAGCGUGGGGAGCAAACAGGAUUAGAUACCCUGGUAGUCCACGCCGUAAACGAUGAGUGCUAGAUGUUGGGGUGCAUGCACCUCAGUGUCGCAGCUAACGCGUUAAGCACUCCGCCUGGGGAGUACGGCCGCAAGGUUA
This 821-nucleotide ribosomal RNA is filed under the name uncultured bacterium. RNAcentral's name for it is "bacterial SSU rRNA". It matches the Rfam family "Bacterial small subunit ribosomal RNA", at positions 28 to 896 of the family's 1533-position model. The record is from RNAcentral.